UACGGAGGGUGCAAGCGUUAAUCGGAAUUACUGGGCGUAAAGCGCGCGUAGGCGGUUUGAUAAGUCGAUUGUGAAAUCCCCGGGCUCAACCUGGGAAUUGCAGUCGAGACUGUCAGACUAGAGUGUGGGAGAGGGUGGUGGAAUUCCCGGUGUAGUGGUGGAAUGCGUAGAUAUCGGGAGGAACACCAGUGGCGAAGGCGGUUGCCUGGAGCUUUGCUGACGCUGAGGCGCGAAAGCGUGGGGAGCAAACAGGG
This 254-nucleotide ribosomal RNA is filed under the name uncultured bacterium. RNAcentral's name for it is "partial 16S ribosomal RNA". It matches the Rfam family "Bacterial small subunit ribosomal RNA", at positions 524 to 777 of the family's 1533-position model. The record is from RNAcentral.